UCUCUUCCCGCCGCCCAAGAUGCCGAAAGGAAAGAAGGCCAAGGGGAAGAAGGUGGCUCCGGUCCCUGCUGUUGUGAAGAAGCAGGAGGCCAAGAAAGUGGUGAAUCCACUAUUUGAGAAAAGGCCUAAAAAUUUUGGCAUUGGACAACACAUCCAGCCCAAAAGAGACCUCACCCGCUUUGUGAAAUGGCCCCGCUAUAUCAGGUUGCAGCGGCAGAGAGCCAUCCUCUAUAAGUGGCUGAAAGUGCCCCCUGCAAUUAACCAGUUCACCUAGGCCCUGGACCACCAAACAGGAGUUAACACCAUCACCACCUUGGUGGAGAACAAGAAACCUCAGCUGGUGGUGAUUGCACACGACAUGGAUCUCAUUGAGCUGGUUGUCUUUUUGCCUGCCCUCUGUCAUAAAAUGGGAGUCCCUUACUGCAUCAUCAAGGGGAAGGCAAGACUGGGACGUCUAGUCCACAGGAAGACCUGCACCACUGUCACCUUCACACACGUUAACUCGGAAGACAAAGGUGCUUUGGCCAAGCUGGUGGAAGCUAUCUGCACCAACUACAAUGACAGAUAUGAUGAGAUCCGCCGUCACUGGGGAGGCAAUGUCCUGGGUCCCAAGUCUGUGGCUCGCAUCGCCAAGCUAGAAAAGGCAAAGGCUAAAGAAUUUGCCAUGAAACGGGGUUAAAUGUACACUGUUUCUGUAAAUAAAAAUAAUU
RNA transcript from Sapajus apella (tufted capuchin), 710 nucleotides. It is a transcript of the gene named 60S ribosomal protein L7a pseudogene, with no coding region annotated. The transcript has a single exon. The record is from RefSeq and is a predicted model, not a curated record. Lineage: Eukaryota; Metazoa; Chordata; Mammalia; Primates; Cebidae.